CUUCGGCGGGCCCGCCUUAACUGGCCGCCGGGGGGCUUACGCCCCCGGGCCCGCGCCCGCCGAAGACACCCUCGAACUCUGUCUGAAGAUUGUAGUCUGAGUGAAAAUAUAAAUUAUUUAAAACUUUCAACAACGGAUCUCUUGGUUCCGGCAUCGAUGAAGAACGCAGCGAAAUGCGAUACGUAAUGUGAAUUGCAAAUUCAGUGAAUCAUCGAGUCUUUGAACGCACAUUGCGCCCCCUGGUAUUCCGGGGGGCAUGCCUGUCCGAGCGUCAUUGCUGCCCUCAAGCCCGGCUUGUGUGUUGGGCCCCGUCCUCCGAUUCCGGGGGACGGGCCCGAAAGGCAGCGGCGGCACCGCGUCCGGUCCUCGAGCGUAUGGGGCUUUGUCACCCGCUCUGUAGGCCCGGCCGGCGCUUGCCGAUCAACCCAAAUUUUUAUCCAGGUUGACCUCGGAUCAGGUAGGGAUACCCGCUGAACUUAACAU
Molecule: ribosomal RNA, 483 nt
Filed under: Penicillium sp.
Lineage: Eukaryota; Fungi; Ascomycota; Eurotiomycetes; Eurotiales; Aspergillaceae
Description: eukaryotic LSU rRNA
Rfam family: 5.8S ribosomal RNA (bases 122-274)
Source: RNAcentral